This 5823-nucleotide long non-coding RNA is filed under the name Toxoplasma gondii VEG. Lineage: Eukaryota; Apicomplexa; Conoidasida; Eucoccidiorida; Sarcocystidae. The record is from RNAcentral.
CGAUUCUCUGUCUGCUGCAUGUGGCAAUGCCAGCACAUGGCCGACCUAAUGCUGCCAUAGGAGUGCACGUUAGAGACGCCUGCAUCAGCAAGUGCUCUAGGCCGUUACACCGAACUGAAAAGAGCGGCAGCAAAGCCUGAGGAGUGACGUCUCGCACCGAAAGACCCGUUCCCCCACAUACGAAGAUGAGGCACGGACCGAAGGCGUUGCAGCCCACUUGGUCGUCCCCAUAGUCUCUUUUACCGUUCCCCUCACCCCGAGUCGCCUGGUGACGCAUGCGUCGGCAAACGAGAGACAUGACUGCUUUCUGAAUUUGUUCUUGUUCGUCUGGCACAAUUCGACUCGCGACGUGGUUCGCAUGACCGCGCUCCUUCUCCACUUCAAUGCUCUCGCAGGUCAGCCCAUCGAGCUGGAGGUGUUUAGCGAGUUCGGGAGAGACCCUUAGGCUGCUCAGCGCCGCUUCAACGCAUGCAUCCUUCAUGACCCCUUCAGAACACCGAUCAGAAACGACAACGACGCCCAGAAAGCAGGGGCGUGCUUCGUUCGCUGUCUCCAUCACAUGGCGACGGGACCGACGGUCUGUGUCUGCUACGACCGCCUCGCCGCACUCCCCUACAUGGGUGGCGUUUUGCCCGUCCUUCUCCAAGGAGUCCUCUGAGACUGGAUUUCUCUGGACUCCUGAGGAACAGGAAAACCCGAGGGUGUUGACUUCCGUCUUUGCUGCGUGCAGGAGUUCGGAGGGGUCGCGACUGCGCUGGUCUCCGCAUCUGCACCGGCCAACGGGGAAGGUCGAGACUUCUCUGUCGAAGCUCGCAGGCCGCCCUUGAGCGCGCUGCUGUCGCUCCUCCUGGAGUGUGAGGAGUUUGAGAAGCAUUUUGGGUGGGGCUGGAAACGGUGUGUCCAGAAGCCACGCCCACAAAACCUCGCCCUUCUCAUGGCGAUCCCGACCGGACCUUUCUCUCGGAGGCACCAAGAUCAGAGCGUUCGCGUUUCCGCAACAGCUGAGCAGCCGCGAACUCUGCUGCGCGCCCGUGGGGAAUGCAUGCAGGUAAACCUGCGGAGAAUUGCAUGCGCUACAGAAUCGGGACGAGAGCAAGCCUUCGCACCUUGCUGGCGGGGAGAGUGACUGGGCCAAAACCGGGAGGUCACUGGGAGAGAGCCGCGCGUCCGCCACGCUCCGACACUCGGUACUGGCGCUAAAGUCCACGUACACCAGGGAACGCUGGAACUCUGGACGGCUGGCGUCAGGCCGCAGAGGAGCUGCGAGGCGGACCGGGACCUGUGGCGGGAGGUGACACGAGAGCGAAGAAGACGGAGAAAACGAAGAGAAAAACUGCAGCGCGGGACCCACGAGAAGGUGAAAGAGAACCCACGAACUACACGGAUUGCCGGGGAGCGCAAACACGAGGAGUGUCCGGCACGGAGACGCCUCCGUCGUCGAAUCUUUCCCUGCCCCUGGAGGGCUUUCCGACGACGUCCUGUACACUCGAAGCGAGGCAACAAUUGCCGGUUUCCCUGGCUUCACGUUCAGGCGGCCAAAGUGAAUUUCUGUGUCAAUACGGAAGGAAGGACUGCGUCCGUCGCAGACAGGAGACAGCUGCUUUUUCCCUGGUUUUUCACGUUCGGAAAAACCAAGCCCACCCUCCAGAGAGACUCGUUUCCCGUCCCGGAGCUCCUGCCGCUUUCUUGUUUCUUCCUGCAGCUGCAGAAGCGCGAGUUUGACACAGUCGCUGUCACCCAUGGACACCCCGCCUGUGGUGAUGAGGACAUCGACUCCGGUACCCACGUUGUCAGGUCCAUUCGCUUGAGUUUUUGCAUCCAUCUCCGCGCACCAAGGGCAUUCGCAACCUCUCGUGACUUCUUUGCCUCGUCCGUCCAUCGUUCUCAGCUGGUCUCCCGACCUCGGCGAACAGCCCGCGAGUGCCGCUUUUCCCCUCGCGCCCGUCGCGAGCUUGACUAGCAGUGUACGUACAGCCGCCACAUCAUCCGGUAGAAAGUGUUGCGCGCGAACCUGCGCACUCGGGCACCGGUCGGCGACUAGAGCGGCGAGUGUCGGGGAGUUGCUGUCGAAGACUUUGGCAGGGGCGGACUUGGGAGAUUCACCGGGAAAAGCCUUGUUCGCAUGCGCUGCCGCGGGCGAGAGCGGCGGCUGAGGGGCACACUUCGAAGACGCCUGAGUCGCUCCAUCGACUGACGACGAACCUGCAACAUUCACGCCUCGGUUUCUCGCGCAGAACUCUUCGUCCUCCCCCCUCUUCUGUCCAACCCCCGCGACUCUGCUCACCAGCUCGUCGCCAAUCGCCAAAGUGUGCACGUUCAGGUAUCUGUACACCUCGAGUCGGUGGACGUCGAAACUCGCGAGAAGCCCUUCCUCGGCAGGUCCGACCCGCUGGCCCUGCUCCAUGAGCGGCAGGCCGGCGGCGACGUCGCUGCCGACAGCUCGAAUGUUUGUUCCCGGUCGCAGAGCCGCUAGAGCAGCGAGGUCAGGCAUACAUAGAGAUUUCUCUCGAUCCACGACGCAGGCUUCCACAGGCAAGACCGCCUGAAAUUGAGGCGGGACGGGCGCCCCCGUUGUCACGUACACACAAGUGGACUCGGGGCAAGUGUCCUGAGCGCCGCCUGCCUGUUUGCCUGGUGUCGAAUCCGCUGGGUGGGGUGCAGCUGCCUGCGUCACGAGCGAACUUUGGGGAUUCGUUGGCAUGUGUGAGUGACGAAACGCACACGACUCCCCACCAGCGCGGACCUUCUGAACAAUGCGGAGUGCCAGACGAGAGUCGUCUUGCGCCUCUGGGCCCCGCUUCUGCGAACUGGACACGCUCCGAGAGGGCUGUCGAGACCCGCCAACUUCCGGGGUCAGGCGGAGAGCGUAGCCAUCCACGAGGGCGGCGCGAAAUGCAGGAAAGGGUCGGGGAGCAAGGACAGAAGUCGCAACGCGACGACCUAGGAACGGCGGAGUAAUGUGGCACGUGAGGGGUGGCUCAGCCACACGCGAAGUCUCUCCUCGGGUCGGUGCGACCUCCUUCUUUGCCUGGCGAGUCCUCUCGGUACCCUCUUUCUCCUGAGUAUCUUUGGGCGCGCUUGCUUCUCCAAGGCAGCACGUGGACUCUCCACGCGCUUGGUCGGGAGACACACCGCCCGCGGGUGCGAGCUUGGUCUUGCCUCUGAGGACAUUGAAACGAUGCAAGUGUGCGUGGAUGAGCCGCCGGACUUCACACUCGACCAAAAACUGCGCCUCGCUGAGUUCCAGCAGGGGAAAGCUGCUGGUUUCUCGAAUGAGGUCCGAGCCAUUCCCCAGACAUGCCUCGUCGCCAGGUUCUGUGCCUCCACGAAGCAUCCGAGCCGAGGCGGGAGAACGAGGCGAAGACACGAGAGUGUGCGUCUCCAAAGUUCCCGGUACUUCACCACCUUCACCACCUACGCCGCUUGCUGCGAUAAAUUCUGUCCGCAAGUGUACGGAGUUGGACGCUCCCCGGUCACCCGCGUCUCUUCUCUUCCUUCUUUGUGGCAUUCUGUCCGUGAGUUCGAAUCGCAACUAUGGAUAGAUAGGGCAGCCAGGCGUGGUUUGUGAAUCGAGAGAAAGUACGUCAAAACGAGACUUGUCACUCUGCGAUUCUUGUAGCUAAACACUGCCGUUCCAGGCAAACCAGGAUGUAUCUCCUCCAGAAGGAUAUGCAAAUAUUGUACUGGCACAUGCGGAUCGCUGCAAGUACACAAACAGACGAGAGAGGAACAGAGAAAAAGCCAAAGGGACUGUGAAGGUAGAUCUGGAGCUUGAAGACCUAAGCCGAUUCGAAGAAGGCGGGAAAAACAAUGCCGCGAAAGGUCUCCUUCCAGGGAAGCUAGGAAUCCGUCAGAGCUGCGCCUACAUAAAAACACAAAGGUAAAGUGACCUUACGGGUACUUUAUUAUUUUUACUUCGCCAGCGGAAAUCUUAAAAGACACUGUCUCUUUCUCGUCCUCAAGCCAGUGUAUUUACUACGGCCGGCCAACUCUUAAAUAUUCAGAGUGACCUGGAAAACGCAGAUAAAUAGAAGCUGGGAAGAAAAAGGGGAUCUCGCCGCAAACGCGCGUUUUGUGUGCGGAGGACAGCGCGUUCAUCGUGUCUUGACGGAGAGCGCGUGCCUUCUUUCGCCGAGUGUCUCCGACAGUUUCCAGUUCAAAAACGCACCGUUUCAAGAGGAUAAAACACCCUAUUGGCUCCAGCGUGUCACAAUCAAGCGAAAAAGAAGACGGAAUGAGUGUGGAAAGCACUGGCCAUCGUUAUUGACACGUCUCCAAAAAGUCUCCCCGCCUUUCCCGGUUCGGGCUAGGGGUCCCAGAGCUAGGGGAACGAUCCUGUUGUCUCGGCCCCCCUGGCUCCUCGUCACUGAGGAACGUCUGAGAAAGAGGAUAAGUUUCUCUCCCCUACUCCAGUGAUGCUUUUACAUCUCUUCUGUGCUAGACUUCUGCUGCUCCUUCCUCGAUCCUUUGCUUCCAUGCCAGAACCCAGGGAAAGACCUCAACUCGGGUUUCGCAUCGAAGUCAUAUGAACAAACGAGCACGAGGCCGCUACACCAGACUAGGGUUGAUCCGAGAUAUUUCCACAGAAAAAUACUCGUAAGUUGGUCUUUGUGGAGAUGAAUUAACGGAAAAGCUCACCUUGUGAUGAGCACUGCAGUCCGUCAAUUUGUCAGGUACCACAAGCUCGGGCGCUUCUUGAGACAGCUGCAAGCGAGGAUACCUAAACCACGGACCUUCGUCCACCGCCGUCGUUUGCUGACACCGUGGCGAGUCACAGGUUCUGAGAACAUGCAGAAAUCUGCGAUAUCUCGCUCAAUUUACAUGCAAGUUUGAAACAGCGUCUCACAGAAUUAUCGUUCCCGAGCAAGUGGGAAGAACUGAGGAACGAAUCCAUGUCACCAGGCGCUAGAAUCACACGCACGAACCUGCUUGUCUCGACGACGGCAGAUUCCGGUGGCUACGUGGUGUAGCACAAAACUGUCUGAACUAAGAGAUUGGUUAGUCACGAGCGAACCAAUACGGUUUCCAUCUUGCCCCAAGAGCAGAGGCAAACACCGGUUUUUCCGUGUUAGCGUGUGUGUACUUCCUGAGGUGGACCAUAACCAACGUACAUUGAUAUCUAUGUUGUGUUACGGAAGCCCUGGACAUACACUCAUUGUUGGAACUGGACACUCAGAUGCAUCGGAUUUCACACAAAAACAAGUGGCCCAGCUUAUCUGUGCUGCUACAGUGCCGCUGUGUAAUGAAAUACGUUUGCGUCAACUUGUAAGGCAAAACAAGUCAAGCGUUGGACAAACGAGGAUCCUCAGUGCAGAUGUUGGUGGAGGGUGGGAGAGUAGUGGGGGGAUGCUGUAUGUGAGGUGCUCAUGUAUUCGGGAAAGCGUGCUUAGAAGAAGCAGGCAAAUGCUACUAUUCAACCCGCUCCUUUGCUUUACCCUGGGGGAAUCCUCAUUUCCAGAUGGAGGCCGUAGCAGCGAGGCUAUGCCUACAACACCUGUGUGCCUCGAAACAUAUCGCUCGCUGACGUGGCAUUUUGAUGCCGGUUGGUGUAGUCAGAGCGAACCUGUAGGUUGAGUACCAGUUGUGCUUUCUCCUUCGUAAUGUUAUUCUGUACAGAAUGCUUAGAUUUAUCUGUCUCUCUAAAUUAACGGUUCUCAAUUUGGUGAUGGUACCUUCAAAGUAACUGAUAUACAUUUCGGUCAUAUUAUUGUCAGUGUUGUCUUGCCAUUUCUUUGAUCAGGGCAUGUGUAGCUCUGUAAUUGCGUGCUUGACAGUAAAGAACAGAAAAACUUUGAGCCCUCGCACACAGUGCGUAAUACCUAG